CUCCCCUCGCGCCGCUUCGCUCUCUCCCGAACACAACCGCCGCCAUGCGCCGCUCGAUCCCGCGGCCACCGGCGCCCCUACGCCCGAGAACCUUGCCUGGGAGGCGUGCCGGCCGUCGCCUCUUCUUCCUCAACCAUUGGUUAAAGCCGGGGCGAUCUACAGCGAAGGAAUCGGGUCCUUCUUCGUCCUCGGCCGCGGCUUCUUCCCCGACGAACCCCGGCGCCGUCGGUCCUCCUCGAGCCCGCUGCCCUCCCCUACUGAACCACAGUGAGCACACGCUCCCCCUCGUCCCGUUGACUUCGAUCCCCGAGCCCCCUAGCCUCUUCUCCGCCGCAACCGUAGCUCGCCUCGCCGCUGCGGCCACUGCUCGCGAAGCUUGUAUCCGUGCACGUAGUCGAGCUCGUGGAGCUCCCAGGCCCCGAACGCGCACGCCUGCUCCUCCCCUCUUGACCUCUGUGCUCGAUCCCGAGCAUCACGUGCUCCGGCCGCCGUCGCGGGUUCGUUUCUGACGAGCUUAGGCCACCCCGCCUCUGGUUCUUGCUCCCUCACAUGUGCGCCAUCACCAGCACUCGGACGAGCCCUCCCGCGCCUCUUUUGGCUGCCGGAGUGGCGUUUCCGACCAUUACUGCCGCGCACUGCUCCCCGCACGUCCUUGCCCUCGCGCCUUGCGUCGCGCUCAUCCCCUGGCCGCCUUGGCCGGAGCCAGCCCUGUCCGCGCGCGCCUGGCGCCCGUCCGCGUAUGCGUUCCGCCGCGCCCGCUGCUCCCUGCCGCCUCCAUCCCGGAGCUCGUCCAUGGCCGCGUCGUGAUACAUGUGCGCCUGCUCGGCUACUGCUUUGUCGCUGUUGUCGCUUUGCUGCACUGCUGCUAGUUACUCCCGCCACUGCCUGCUGAUGCUGCUGCUACUUCUUCUGCUGCUGCUCCCCUCGCAUGCGCACGCCCGCAGCCGCCGUCGCUGCUUACUGCUGCCCUGUGCUGCGUACUGCUGCUGCUGCUCAUGCGCUGCUGUUGCUCAUGCCGCUGCUAUGCUACUACUGCUGCUAGCUGCUGCUGGUGCUUGGCCAUGGCCGCGAGCGCCCCAUGUGUGUGCUUGUGCGUGAGCACAGCCACACAAUGGAUGGCUAGUGCCAUUGCUAUAUGGGGGUGGGCCUAAUUAGAUUAGGAUCUAAUUGCUGUUAAUGCCAUCCUCCUACUAAUAGUCACUGACGUUGGGCCCUGCUGCCUAAAGAAAACAAUUAAAAUCAUCUAAAUUGAAGUAAGUUAAAGUAUAGGCAAUGACAACCCACUAGCACUGUUCAUAUGUUGACUGGUCAACCAUUGACUGGGUCAACACAACCCCAUUGGCCCCACUCUCAUACAGACAGGCUAGAGUAUCACUAGGUGACAAAAGUUUAUUCUGUUUUUAAUUCAGAUUUACAUAUUCCAGAAUUUUUGAAAAUGCAUUAAACUUUGAAAAUUCAUAAAAUAAACCGUAGCUCAGAUGAAAAUGUUUUCUACAUGAAAGUUGCUCAGAACGACGAGACGAAUCCGGAUACGCAACCCGUUCGUCCACCACACAUCCCUAGCAUAGAAAACACGCAACUUUCCCCCUUCGGUUCGUUUGUCCGAAAAUGCCUAACUUCGGGAAAGCAUUCCCGGAUGUUACCCCCCUUCGUCGGUAGCGUGUAGCACCGCGUUAGAACACGUCUAGCUUUGCCUGUUGUCCUGUUAUGCACUUGCUUGCUCUGUAUUUACUGUUUCUUCCCCCUCUUCUCUCCGGUAGACCCCGAGGCCGUUGCUGAGGGCCCGGUGAUCGACUACGUCGACGACGACCCCUCCUUUCCAGAGCAACCAGGCAAGCCCCCCCUUUGAUCAUUCCGAUAUCGCCCAUUCCAUUCUCUCAUGCUUGCAUUAGAUUUUGCUACUGUUAUUGUUUGCUCCUAUUCUGAUGCAUAGCCUGCUUUUGUAACCUGCUUAUUGUUACCUACCUGCUUAUCCUAACUGCUUAGUAUAGGUUGGUUAGUGAUCCAUCAGUGACCCCCACCUUGUCCUUGUUGCCCCUGCUUCAUCAUCGAAGACCCGAUCAACGGGAUCGAAGACCAGGCCCCGGCACCGCACAUCACUUUCCCCUUAGUUGCUCGACACUACUGGGUUACCAUCGAGUGCCGAGGGUAAGACCUCAUUAGCACUUCUGAUGUUAACCUUGUAGUGUAGCUAUUCGGUCGUGGUCAUCGAGGGUGAUUUCCUCCUUAACCACUUCCAACACGGCUCUGUCGUGCAACCCCUCAAGUGUGAACCUCGAGGGUGGAUCCUCUUAUGUUCACCUUGAUGAUUACAUCGAGUGGAAUUCACCGGGGGUGAUUCCUCGGGUUUUCCCCUUGAUGUUUGGACACACGGAUACUUGGACUUUACAACUGUUACUUGGAAAGGCGGGUCGACCCUGAGGGGUACCCGCGAGUGAUGUGGAGACGGGUUGACCUAGAGGGUGCCCGUGAGAUAAUUACGAGGCGUGGCCGGGCAUUCCUAGCCCUUGCCGCAAGUCCUCUAGACGGGGCGACGGGGUCACAUCUUUCGUGAAUCUCUGCUUGUUACCGCACGUUCCUAAUCCACUACGAUUUGGAUAUUUGAUGCGAGGGGCCUCUGGCCUGAUAGCACUAACCAUCACGUGGGCAUAGUAUGGGCGUUCUGCGUCGUAUACAUCAGCCAAAGCUUAAUAGACGUCAGCGACUGAGCGGCGCGCGCCGGGUUGGACUGGUAAGCUCCUGCCUUUUUAAGGAGGUAGCUAGGUCUGCUCACCGGCCGCCCAUGCAACGUGCAGGAGUUCCCGGGGCGAUGGCCCAUGACCCUGGGGGCAUAGGUUUAGUCCGGCGUGCUGACCUCUCUAUUAAGCCUAGGUCGGGUUGCGGCGUAUUGUUUGGCCGAGGCCGGGCAUGACCCAGAAAAGUGUGUCCGGCCGGAGUUAAUCGAGCGUGGUGGGUAAGUUGGUGCACCCCUGCAGGGAAGAAAACAUCUAUCGAUAGCCUGUCCUACGGUAACGGACACUUGGAGUUGUAUCCCGAUCGAUACAACUAGAACUGGAUACUUGUGAUGAGAAUUGGAUUGUGAUGAGAAAUGGAUAGUAUGGCUCUGGGAUUGCUUUCUCGCAGGAAGUCGAGAAAGGAUCUCUGGCCGAGGUUGAUAACACUACUACUACUUUACUUUAUGCUACUCUACUCCCUCCUGUUGCUGCAAGAUGGUGGUUUCCAGAAGAUGCUAGUCUUCGAUAGGCUAGGCUUUCCCCUUCUCUUCUGGCAUUCUGCAGUCCAGUCCACAGAUACAGCCCAUUUCAUUGAUACCGAUGCAUAUGUAGUGUAGUUCCUUAAUUGCGAGUACUUUGGAUGAGUACUCACGGUUGCUUUGCUCCCCCUUUUCCCCCUUUCUUCUUCUUUCCGGUUGAUGCAACCAGAUGUCGGAGCCCAGGAGCCAGAUGCCACCGCGAUGCUUACUACUACGUGGAGGCCGCCGACGACUAGGAGUAGUUAGGAGGCUCCCAGGCAGGAGGCCUUGCCUUUUCGAUCGAUGUUGCUUUUGUGCUAGCCUUCUUAAGGCAAACUUGUCUAACUUAUGUCUCUACUCAGAUAUUGUUGCUUCCGUUGACUCUUAUGUUUUCGAGCUUAUGUAUUCGAGCCCUCGAGGCCCCUGGCUUGUAAUAUAAAGCUUGUAUUAUUUCAAUUUGUGUCUAGAGUUGUGUUGUGAUAUCUUCCCGUGAGUCCUUGAUCUUGAUCGUACACAUUUGCGUGUAUGAUUAGUGUACGAUUGAAUCGAGGGCGUCACAAACACCUUAAAAGGACCAUCAACACGUGGCAUUAGCUU
Molecule: long non-coding RNA, 3829 nt
Filed under: Triticum aestivum (bread wheat)
Lineage: Eukaryota; Viridiplantae; Streptophyta; Magnoliopsida; Poales; Poaceae
Description: long non-coding RNA (TAES_LNC013393)
Source: RNAcentral